Molecule: small nuclear RNA, 300 nt
Filed under: Tursiops truncatus (common bottlenose dolphin)
Lineage: Eukaryota; Metazoa; Chordata; Mammalia; Artiodactyla; Delphinidae
Description: 7SK RNA (ENSTTRG00000023501.1)
Rfam family: 7SK RNA
About the family: 7SK was discovered as an abundant small nuclear RNA in the mid-70s but a possible function has only recently been suggested. Two independent studies have found that 7SK RNA binds the CDK9/cyclin T complex (known as elongation factor P-TEFb).
Source: RNAcentral
GGAUGUGAGGGCGAUCUGGCUGCGACAUCUGUCACCCCAUUGAUCGCCAGGCUUGAUUCGGCUGAUCUCGUUGGAUAGGCGGGUGUCCCCUUCUUCCCCCACCAUGUGCGUCCCUCCCAAAGCUGCGUGCUCCUUUCAAGAUGAUGACCUUCCCCAUAGAGGAGGACCGUUCUUCGGUCAAGGGUAUAAGAGUAGCUGUGAUCCCCUGCUAGAACCUCCAAACAAGCUCUCAAGAGGUACAUUUUUCUUUUCUUUUUAAUAUUUACUUAUUAUUGGCUGUUGGGUCUUCGUUGCUGCACG